GCUUAUUCUCAGGGCAGGGUGAAAUUCCCGACCGGCGGUGAUUCCGCGACAGCGGAGCAGCCCGCGAGCGCCUGCCGCAAGGCAGGGUCAGCAGAUCCGGUGCGAAUCCGGAGCCGACGGUUAGAGUCCGGAUGGAAGAGGAUAAGG
This 147-nucleotide non-coding RNA is filed under the name Thiorhodococcus drewsii. Its description in RNAcentral is "FMN sequence". It matches the Rfam family "FMN riboswitch aptamer (RFN element)". Rfam says of the family: The RFN element is a highly conserved domain that is found frequently in the 5'-untranslated regions of prokaryotic mRNAs that encode for flavin mononucleotide (FMN) biosynthesis and transport proteins. This element is a metabolite-dependent riboswitch that directly binds FMN in the absence of proteins. Lineage: Bacteria; Pseudomonadati; Pseudomonadota; Gammaproteobacteria; Chromatiales; Chromatiaceae. The record is from RNAcentral.